AUGGGUUCCAAUGGCAGCCUUAUCCUUUGAAGGAUCAAGUAAACAUAAUAAUCCAUGACAAGCACCAUAAACAGAGGGGAGAUCAUUCUUAAAAAAGGGCAAGUGAAUGUUUUGUUUUACUAUAUAAUUUUGAUCUUUUUCAUUUGAAAGUUGAGAGUAAUAAAGUUAGAAGGCGUUACCAUCAAGGCGACUAAGAAGUAGAUUAAGGUUGUUGUUUUCAAGGUUAUUGGAAAUGAAAUGAGGAGUUUGAAUAGAAGAACACCAAUACUUACAAACACAGUUGAAGCGAGUAAGGGAUUUAACUGGAAGCUUUGACAGAAUUUCAAUAACCAAAGCUUCUGGCAAUUCAAACCUUGGCCUCUGCAUCUUGCUAUUUUGUUGGUGUUAAGAGGCAAUAGCAAGCUGGUUUCAGCUUGCUUGGACAGCAAGUGUCGAGCCUUGCUGAAGAAACAAACUCAAAAAGAAACAGAAAUCAAGCUUGCAAGUGGAAAAACAGAAAAACGAGAGAGAGUUUGAAUGAAAAACAAACUGAAAGUUUUUCAUUAACAUUAAACAAGGCAUUGAGCCAUUACAUAUAUUAGCUAACAUGUAAUACAAACAAGUAAUUGCCUAAUCAACUACCUAACUCCACUAAUCUGUCUUGAAACUUACAAAAAUAGCUUCAUCAUAUUGCUAUGUUGAUUUUCAAUCAAUCAACAUCAAAAUUACAUCAAAACAUUUAUCUACUUAGUUCAACAUGAACUAGAUUACAAAAUAAUUAAAAUUCAACUAAAACACAACAAUUAAUUUGGCAACUUCAAGCUCCAGCUUCUGCACAUCAUGGCUCGACUGCUUGUUGCCAUUUCUUCUUGUAUGGCCACCUUUGCAUAGGAACUAAUCUCAACACUCCUCCUUAGUUGCCAUGUUAGUGACACCUAGUUCCUUCUUCAACUUUAUAAACCUUGACACAUUUAAAGCUUUGGUAAAAAUGUCAGCAAUUUGCUCCUCCGAAUUGCAAUGAACCAGCUCGAUUUCAUGAGCUUGUUCCAUCUCUCUUAUAACAUGUAGUUUGAUGUUAAAGUGCUUCGUUCUGCCAUGAAAGAUGGGAUUCUUUGCAAUUGCAACAGCAGAUUUGUUAUCACAGUAAAUCUCUGUUGCUUCUUCUUGGUUUUGGUUUAAAUCAGCCAAGAUUUUUCUAAGCCAUAUGGCUUGAUUCACAGCAGAUGCAGCAGCAACAUAUUCAACUUCUGCUGUUGAUUGUGCCACCAGACUCUGCUUCUUAGAACUCCAGCAAAACAUGCCUGAGCCAAGGCUAAAUGCAUAUCCAGAUGUGCUUCUCAUGUCAUCACAUGAUCCAGCCCAAUCACUAUCGACAUAGCCUAUUAACUUCAUGUUUUCAGCUCUUUUGAACAUCACACCAUGGUUAAUGGUGCCUUUGAUGUACCUCAGCACUCGUUUAGCUGCUUGAAAAUGCUGAUUGUUGCAGCAAUUCAUGCAUCUGGAUAGCACACUAACUGCAAACAUAAUAUCGGGCCUUGUUGCAGUCAAAUAUAGUAGACUACAAAUGAGACUUUUGUACAUAGUCUCACAAACUGGUUCACCAGUUUCCUGCCUCGAUAGCUUCAUUCCAACAACCAUUGGUGUGCUUGUUGGCUUGCAGUUCUUCAUUGAGAACUUGUUUAAAACUUUCAUAGCGAAGGAACUCUGGCUGAGAAAGAUUCCAGUUCCAUUUUGUUUUACUUCCAUUCCUAGGAAGUAGUUCAUUCUGCCUAAAUCAGACAUCUCGAACAUUUUCAUCAUUUUCUUCUUGAAAUCAUGCAUCAUAUUUUUGUCUCCUCCAGUUACUAACAAAUCAUCAACAUAGAGUGACAAGAUAAGUUGAGUCUCAGCUUAAUUUUUCUUCACAUGCAGUGUUGGUUCACUGGCACUUCUCUCGAAUUCCAAACUGAGCAAGUAGGAAUCAAUUCGAGCAUACCAGGCUCGAGGGGCCUGUUUCAGGCCGUACAAGGCCUUUUUCAAUCUGUAGACCAUGUGUUCUUUGCCAGUGACUACAAACCCUUGAGGUUGCUCAAUGUAAAUCUCUUCUUCUAGGAAGCCAUUGAGGAAUGCAGACUUCACAUCCAGCUGAUGAAUGGUCCACUGAUUUUGAGCAACCAAAGCAACUAUCAUUCUGACCGUGUCAAGUCUGGCUACUGGUGCAAAGGUUUCCAAGUAGUCCAGACCAUACCUUUGGCUAAAACCUUUGACAACAAGCCUGGCCUUCAGUUUGUUCAAACUGCCAUCUGCAUUUUGUUUUGCUCGAUAGACCCAUUUUACUCCAAUGGUCUUCUUUCCAGCUGGUUUAUCAACCAGCUCCCAUGUUUGAUUCUUUUGAAUCAUAUUGAUUUCAUCAAGCAUAGCUUGUUUCCAGCCUUCAUCUGCCUCAGCCUCUUCAAAACUGCUAGGUUCUGCUGUAGCAACCUGUGCCCUUUCAUAAAUCUCAUCUAGGGGCCUUGUGCCUCUCACAGGUACAUCAGCAACAUCCAACUCAGAACCAAGCUGCUCGAGUUCAGUUUGAUUAGGCACCAAGUCUUCUGAAACUGUUUCAGGCUCAUUUUUCUCUCAAUUCCAGCAAGCCUUUUCAUCAAAGAUAACAUCUCUGCUUACCUGAACUUUGCUUGUCAAGGGAUCCAGAAUCCUGUAGCCCUUCUUGACCGAGCUAUAGCCCACUAGGAUGCCAGGUUGGGAUCUCUUUGACAGCUUGUCCCUCUUUGCUGCUGGUAUUUGUGCAUAGCAUAGGCAACCAAACACCUUCAGAUGUGCCAAUGAAGGUUUGAAGCCAAACCAUGCCUCGAAAGGUGUCUUGGAUGCAAGAGCUUUGGUAGGAAGCCUAUUCUGAAGGUAAACAGCAGUGUUUACUGCCUCAGCCCACAUGGUCUUAGGCAGUUUCUUCUCAAACAGUAAGCAUCUUGCCAUAUCCAUUAGGCUUCUGUUCUUCCUUUCAGAUACCCCAUUCUGCUGAGGUGUGUACACAUUUGUUAGCUGGUGUUUAAUGCCAGCAUCAUUGCAAAUGGGUUGGAACUGAGUUGAAUUGUACUCAGUGCCAUUGUCUGACCUUAUCGAUUUCAGCUUGCAGCCUGUUUCUGUCUCUAUAGCAGUUUUAAACUUCACAAACACUUGAGCUACCUCAGACUUGUGUUUCAAGAAGAAAAUCCAGCAAAACCUUGUAAAAUCAUCAAUGAAGAGGAUGAAAUACUUGUUUUUGCUGAGUGAUUCAGUCCUCAUAGGUCCACAUACAUCAGAGUGCACCAGCUGCAAUCUUUCAGUGGCUCUCCAUGCUAAACUUGUAGGAAAUGGCAGUCUUGCCUGUUUUCCCAUCUGGCACACUUCACACACAUCAUCAUGCUCCAUUGAGCUGGUGAAGUUCUUUGCCAAUCCCUCUUUGGCCAAUCGAGCCAUUGAUCUGAAGUUGGCAUACCCGAGCCUUUGGUACCAAAUCUUGGAAUCAUCAACAGAGGCAGUGUAUGCUGACUUUGAGUUAUUUGGCCAAUGGACCUCAAAGCAUUUAUCAGUCAUUGUGACUGUCAUAAGGCUUGAUCCACUUAGAUCAGCAAUGUGGCACUGUUUGUCCUUGAACACAACAGAAUAACCUUUCUCAAGCAAUUGAGCUAUGCUGAGAAGGUUUCUGUCAAUUUCAGGUACCAGCAAGACAUUUGAGAUAACUUUGUUUCCUGUAGGAGUACAUAUCAGCACCUCUCCUCUUCCUUCAGCCCUUAUGAACUGACCAUUUCCAACCUUGACCUUGGUUUUGCAACUUCUAUCCAAGGUUUUAAAUAAGGAGGUAUCUGGUGACAUGUGGUUAGUACAACCACUGUCCAAUAACCAGCCUUUUGAACUUUUCUUUUCAGCAGCUAAGCAAGAAACAGCAAAGACCUGCUCUUCUUGAUCACUACUGUCCUCAGCCACUCGAGCUUCAACCUUUGGCUGCUGAAAUUGAUUCUGCCUUGGCUUAUUCCUGUUUUUACAGACCCUUUCAACAUGGCCCUUCUUCUUGCAGUGUUGGCACACAGCAUCUGGCCUAAACCAGCAUCUAUCUUCUGGAUGUCUUGACCUCUUGCAAUAUCUGCAGGGCUGGUCAUUGCUCCUUGCAGCAUCAGGCUUAGGCCUACUUUUCCAAGGCUUUUUGCCUCUUUGAGCAUUUACGCUUGAGGCUUCUCUGGCUUUGGCUUGAAAUGCACCUUCUUGGUGAUCUUCAGCUCUGCUAGCUCUCCUUUGUUCCUGAGCAUAAAAGGUGUUAAUUAGCUCAGUCAAAGAGAUGCUAGCAAGAUCUCUUGAGUCCUCUAAGGAGGAUAUCUUUGCCUCAUAUCUCUCAGGCAAAGUGGAGAGGACUUUCUCCACAAUUCUUGCCUCAUCAAAGUGCUCACCAAGGAGCCUUAUGCUGUUAACCACUGCCAUGAUUCUAUCUGCAUACUGCUUCACUAUUUCUUCUUCCUUCAUCUUCAGAUUCUCGAAAUCCCUUCUCAAAUUCAAUAGCUGCUGUUGCCUUGUCCUCUCAGUGCCUUGAAACUCCUCCUUAAGCUUGUCCCAGGCCUGUUUUGGAGUCUCACAGGCCAUAAUUCUGGUGAAGAUGACAUCUGACACACAGUUCUGGAUGCAAGACAUGGCUUUGUGCCUCUUGGUCCUCUCAUCAGCAUGUUGUCUGAUCUGAGCUACUGUGGGAUUAGCCCUCAGUGGUGCUGGCUCAGCAUCUGUGUUGACAACUUCCCACAGAUCAAAAGCCUGCAGGUAAGUCUUCAUCUUUACCAGCCAUAUAUGAAAGCCUUCUCCAUUAAAGACUGGUGGGGCUGCUGGUGAAAAUCCUGAAGAAGCCAUCAGGUUCCUUGACUUUAAGUAACAGGUCCACUAAGACAAGAGCUCUAGAUACCAAUUUGUUGGUGUUAAGAGGCAACAGCAAGCUGGUUUUAGCUUGCUUGGACAGCAAGUGUCGAGCCUUGCUGAAGAAACAAACUCGAAAAGAAACAGAAAUCAAGCUUGCAAGUGGAAAAACAGAAAAAGGAGAGAGUUUGAAUGAAAAACAAACUGAAAGUUUUUCAUUAACAUUAAACAAGGCAUUGAGCCAUUACAUAUACUAGCUAACAUGUAAUACAAACAAGUAAUUACCUAAUCAACUACCUAACUCCACUAAUCUGUCUUGAAACUUACAAAAAUAGCUUCAUCAUAUUGCUAUGCUGAUUUUCAAUCAAUCAACACAAAAGUACAUCAAAACAUUUAUCUACUUAGUUCAACAUGAACUAGAUUACAAAAUAAUUAAAAUUCAACUAAAACACAACAAGUAAUUUGGCAACUUCAAGCUCCAGCUUCUGCACAUCAUGGCUCGACUGCUUGCUGCCAUUUCUUCUUGCAUGGCCACCUUUGCAUGGGAACUAAUCUCAACAUAUUUUGAUUUUCUUUGUAAUUGACUAAGAGGAAUAAAUAAGCAAGCAAAAGGGGAGUUGGUAGGUGUCAUCUAUGGUCGAAACCUUAACCAUGAAGCAAACAUAAAAGGUAAGCAUUUGAUACAUUAUAAUAAUUAUAUGCAAUUUAGGAAAUUUCCUUAUUUGCUCAUUUGUAUCCAUGUGAAGAAUGAUUAAGAUUGAAUAUAAUCUAAUAUAUACCUUUUGAAUUUUAUCCCCAAUUUUUAAAAGAAUAAAUUUAAAGAAUACAAUACGCUCAACAUUUAUGUACUUUUUGUAUAUUUAAAAUUUAAUCCCUAAUUUUUUAUUUUUAAAAAUUUAGUCUCUUUAUUUUUAAAUUUUAGAAAUUUAGGAUCGUUAAAAUUAUUUGACAUAAUUGUUGAAAAUACCUUCCAUGUUUAUGAGUUUUUGUGUUUGAGCCAUUAACCUUCUUUUUUUAUUGACACCCUCAACAUUACAAUUUGUUUAGAAAUCAACCUAAUUUUCACGGGAUACAAGAGUUGAUCGUCAGUCAAACAAAAGGUUAACGAAGUAGCCUAUGUGGCGUGUCAUAUAUGCACGAGAUCAUAGAUGAUGGCAUCUAUAAAAACAAAAUUGUUUAAAAAAAAUUUUUUAUUUUGUUUCAAUAUUCUUUAUUCUUCUCCUCUUUCUCUCUUCCCCUCUAGCUCCUGUCAUCGUCGUGUCCAAACCCUUCCACCGUUGCCUUCCCUCUCACUCCUAACCGUUGUUCUCACCAAAAAUGUUAGAAGAAAUGUUAGAAGAGAUACUAAUAUAUAUAGAAUUUAUCUGAAUUCAUCCCUCAAAGUCAGAAAAAAAAAUACAUCUUCAAUCACCAGCAAUAUCAUACAAUCAUUAAAAUCCAAAACACCAACUAAAAAAAAAACUAGCUUUCAUCCUAUUGACAAAUUUUGAAGAACAUGUAGAAAACUCAAAAUAAACCUUACCAUUAACAAUCCACAAAGAUCAUAAACAAAGCAACACAACAAAGACAUUAAACUGGGGAUAAAAAAAAAAAAAAGGUACUGACUUUAUCCAUGGAAAAAAAGGGCCAACCCAUUUGAGAAAAACAUCAACCAAUAAUCCUAGAAAGGUAAGUAAAAUUCCCAACUUGAUUCAGUACCAAAUAGACCUUCUCGAUUGAGAACAAAAACCUGGCUCCUUUAGCAAAGAAUUAUUCUCUUCCGCUUCACAUUAUUCUAAUAAUCUCUGUCUCAAACUUACCCUUUUCUCAUUAACAUCAUCAUCACCUUCAACUCAUAAUUUUAGCUCCGGCAUCACUUCUCCUCCCUCAUCAUCAUUUUUAUCAUCAUUGAAAGUCAUUGAAUUUUUAGAACAAGAACCCAAAUUUCACCUGAGAAAAUUAGAGAAGGUGAAGCAAUAAAUGGAUAGAUGAAUUGAAAAACAAAGAAGGAUAUCAAAUAUACCGAAAGAAACCAAACCUAAACCAAACAAAGCGAGUUUGAUUUUUCUAGUUUUUUUAAAUUUAAAAGAAAACCAAAACCCUAAAAUGGGUUACAACAGUGAGUCUCUUUUUGCUUUUUCUUUAUUCUUUUUGGUUGUAUAGAAUUUUGGGUGUUUGACGAAAUUGUCUUUUGUAAGGCUAGCAGAGAUGAACUAGACGUUGAUGAUGAUGAUGAGGAGGAGGAUGGAGAUGGAGAAGAUUUUGGGACAUUUAUGGUAAGAUCGAGGUGAGGUGUGAGAGGGAAGGCGACAGUGGUGGGGGUUGUCUAGCCACAUAGGCUACUUUGUUGACAUGUGGUUUGAUUGACUGUCAACUCAUGUUUCUCACUAAAAUUUGGUUAAUUUCUAAAAAAAUCGUAACGUUGAUAAUGUCAAUUCAAAAAAAAAAGAAGGUUAAAAGCCCAAACCCAAAAACCUAUAAAUGUUGAGGGUAUUUUCGACAAUUAUGCCAAAUUCUUUUGUUAAAUUUGUCGGUUUGAUAUUCUAAAUUUCUUUUUUUUUUUAAAAAACCAUACUCCAUAAUCAUAUUACCGAAAAUGGCAUUAUAAUGGACUUGAAGCUAACAAAAAAAUUUAACGAUGUUAACGCUUCUUUAAACUUACGUCAAAAUUUUAAUUAGAAUAAAAUAUUUAGUCAACGUUGAAGCACCAAACUAUAAAAGAAGUAUAAAGGCUAAAUCUCGAAUUUUAACAUAGUAUAGAGACCAAAUUUGAAAUUUAACUAUUUUUAUCCAUGUGAGCAUUUGAUAGGUUAUAAUAAUUAUAUGCAAUUUAGGAAAAUUUCCUUAUUUGCAUUUGUAUCCAUGUGAGGAAGGAUUAAGAUCAAAUAUAAUAUAAUACAUACUUUUUGAAUUUAAUCCCUGAUUUUUAAAAGAUUAAAUUUAAAGGAUAUCACAUUUAUGUACUUUUGUAUAUUUGAAAUUUAAUACUUAAUUUUUAUUUUUAAGAAUUCAAUCUCUCUAUUUUUUUAAAAUUAUAAAUUUUGGUAUGGUUAACACCGUUAAAAUUGUUAAAAUUCUUUGGCAUAAUUGUCGAAAAUACUCUCAAUGUUUAUGGGUUUUUGGGUUGAGCUCUUAAAUUAUUUUUUUUUUGGAUUGACACCCUCAAUGUUACGAUUUUUCAUAAAUCAAUCCAAUUUUAACAGGAAACAUGAGUUAACCGUUAGUCAAAUCGCAAGUCAAUGAAGUAGCCUAUGUGGCUUGCCACAUAAGCAUGAGGUCAUAGAUGAAGUCAUUUAUAAAAAUAAAAUUGUUUAACAAAUUUUUUUUCAUUUUGUUUCAAUCUUCUUUUCUCUUCUUCUCUUUCUCUCUUCCCCUCUAGCUGUUGUCGCCGUUGUGUCCAACCCUAUCGUCGCCUUCCCUCUCACUCCUCACCAACCCAACCCCCACCACCUCUCACUUCCCUCUCACUCCUCACCGUUGAUCUCAUUGGCAUCUCUUCUAACAUUUGUGGUGAGAUCGACAGUGAAGAGUGAGAGGGAAGGCGGCGGCGGUGGGGGUUGGACACAACGGCAACAGUAGCUAGAGGGGAAAAUAUAAAGAGGAGAAGAAAUAAAUUGAAACAAAAUGAAAAAAAAUGUUAAACAAUUUUGUUUAUAGAUGACAUCAUCUAUGAACUCGUGCUUAUGGGGCACGCCACAUAGGCUACUUCGUUGAUCUGUGGUUUGACCGACUGUCAACUCACAUUUUCCGUUAAAAUUGGGCUGACUUAUUAAAAAAUCGUAACGUUAAGGGUGUCAAUCCAAAAAAAAAAAAAGGUUAAUGGCUCAAACCCAAAAACUCAAAAAUAUUGAGGUUUUUUCGACAAUUAUGCCAAAUUCUUUGUUAAAUUUGUUGGUUUGAUAUCCUAAAAUUUUUUUUAAAAAAAAAGUACUUACUCCAUAAUCAUGUCACAGAAAAUGGCAUUAUAAUGGACUUGAAGCUAAUAAGAAAAUAUUAAAGAUGUUAACACUUAUUUAAAUUUACGUAAAAAAUUAAUUAGAAUAAAAUAUUUAGACUAAAUAAUGACAUUAUAAACAUUGAAGCACCAAAUUAUAAAAAAGUAUAAAGUCCAAAUCUCAAAUUUUAACAUAGUACAAAGACCAAAACUGAAAUUUAAAUAAUCAUACAAUUACUUUCUUUUUUGUUGCAUAUCAUUUCCAAAUACAUAAAACGAUCCAUAUUCAACUAUAACAUAUUGUACACCAAAAAAUAAUUUUGAAAUCAAACAAUUGAAGAAAAAGAGUUAGCUGGAUGCUACAGAACAGUAGUCAAUGUCUGUCAGUUUGACUUUGGCUUGCGCUGCAUGAUUCUAGCUUGUUAUGAAUGCUUAAACUAUGGGUCACUUUCAUAAGACUUUUUCUCUAAUUCCAUGUCCAUUGUAAUUGCUGAAAUUCAUCUUCAUUUUUAGCUACUUGUUAGUGUAUAAAUUGUAGAAAAAUGUCUUCGUUUAAGUUCGAAUUGUUGUAAACUGUCCCUUAAAAAUCUUUAAUACGCAUUGAAGAAAUGAAAACUCGAAUGAAAUACAUGCAUGUUAUCGUGUUUGUUGUGAGUAUGAUCAUUGCAGGGUUCAAUGGAGUCGAUGCAAUGAGUAAAUAUUACAGUCACUGCGGGAAACAUGACAUCGAAAAGGAGGCUCAAAAUCUGUUCCCAUGUUAUGAGAUUAGUUAACGGGAAACAUGAGUUAACCGUUAGUCAAAUCGCAAGUUUCUUAUUUAAAUAAGAAACAUGUCCUAAACAUGGUAUAUCACCACUCAAUAAGAAACCGAUUGGAAGUAUGACAGAGGAUGUUGUGCAAAGUCGGAACAUGUCCUAAGCUGUAUGUUGUACAAACUCUGAACCUGUCAAUACCAAGUCCGGCCAUAGUGUGGGCAAUUGGUUCCAAAGAGCUAUAUCACCACUCAACAAUUGCUUUUAAAUAAGAAACAAAAAAAUUGAUUAGAUUACAGAUAAAUUACUUAAUAGUUUCAAGUGAAGAAUGUAUAUGCGUACUUGGAGUCGUGGCCGGGUUAGAAUAGGUUGUGGAUGGGUGCAAGGCUUCCUUGCAUUGUAUGGGGGCACCGGCAUGUCAUGAGCGUCUUGCGCCCAAAUUCCAUGUAUUUUGAAUUCAGUUGGGAUUGGGAGUUUACAGUUGAAAGUAGAGCUGCAAACAGAGGAGGCCACUGCAGUGCCAACUUAUAGAAGUCUACCACUGGAAUUACUGGCGGCUGGGGUACUGCAAAUGCUACCCAUAAUGAAAAAUGAUACAAUGCAUUUUUACAAAUUUACAAAUCAAAAGAGAACUACUCCAUAUAUAGAUCUUACAUGCAUAGAUGGUCGGGCUGAGAUUGGAUGAUUGUGCUUUGCAAGCAGCUGGUUUAUGAUCUCCUUUAUAAGCUUGGCACACAUAUUUCACGAAAUUUUCAAAGUCCUGCAACCAUGAAAUAAAUGUUGAAGUUACUUGUCACAAAAUGUUACUUCACAGUCACACCAAGAGGGAGAAAUAAACAAACUCACUUGUCUGAGUGGCUGAUUAUUCACCACCACCCAUGGCACAUAUUCUUGAGGUGGCUUCAGAUGUGCAGUCUCGUUAGCAUAUUGCAGCAGAAGCUGCAUUUUAUUAACUUGGAAAUUCAAUGUUAGAAAAAGCUAAGGAGAAGUGUUAAUUAAAUACUAAUACAUGCAGCCAACCUUAUAUCCAAAUCCAGUAGUAUAGCAUUGGUUGAUUAUCACCUCAUUCAAUCUCAGCUUUUCACUGCAAUUUUUCCACAGUGCUUCAACGGGCCACCCCUUUAAGCUUUGUUGCUCUGUGCAGCCAAUGAAUUCCAAGUGUUCUUUCUGCUACAAAGUAGAGUAAGUAAACACGAGUUGGAGACGAGUACAAAUACUUAUGGCUAAUAGAAGUUACCACAUCAGGCCAGAAAUGGAUGACACAACUAUGUAUAGUGUUUAAGUGGCAUUCUUCUUCUCCAUGCUGGACAUUGUUGCAUAAACUAUAAUUAGUUACAGUAGAAGAAAGAAAUUGAACUUCAUUAGUUAAUAAUGAAAAUAUAUUAAAAUGAAGAAUGGAGUUGUAAACCUGGCAAUGGAUUUCAGCAUUGCUCCAAGGGACCAAUCUUAGAUUGAUAAUGGUAUGGAGGUCAGUGUGGAAGACCUUGACGAGGUCGUUGGAGAUAAAGGAGGCACAACGUGGACAUAAACUUGUUUCAUAGUACAGUGACACAGUAACCCUGUCAUUAACAUUAUCUAAAGAGGAAUGGGAGGGAGAAAUAAGCCAAAAUAUUGCAAGAGCAGACAGAAUAUAGAAGAUCAGUGGUUGAAGAUAAGCCAUUGUUUUAGUGGUAGCUUCUGCACAAUGCUGAACCUCCAUUAUGCAAUGUUUUUUAUAGUUGAGAAAGGGGAUGAUGGCUAUUGUUUUCUAUCACUUUCAGAAACCAUGUGACGUUAUCACUUUCAGAAACCACUUUAAAAAAUUAUUUACAUGAAGAUUGUUUAUUUAUGUAUAUGGUUCUUGCUUUUUCUAAUUUUACUUUGGAAAUUACAAAAAUAAUCAACAUUGUAGUUAUAUCUAAUACUAGUUUCAAUCACAUGUAAUAAGUUCCACGUUAAUAAAAUAAGUCCUUAAUUUUUCUUAACAUGGCUUUCGAUGUGUCUGUUUCAAUAUGUAUAAAUAUGGGGAAUCAACUUCACAAGUAAUUGCUUAUAAUGGUUUAUUGCUUAUAACAAUUGAUAUAUAUAUGUAUAUAUAUGAACUUAACCAAACAUCCUCAAAGUUGUUGGAAUUUUGGUUUCUUUAAAAUUUUAGUAGGGUUUAAAACUUGAUUAAGAGUAUGGUAAUUAAUGGUUAGAGGAGAAAAUGAAUUGAUUUGUUUUUAUAAGUACUGUUAGUCUUUCACAUGAAAUAGGGUAAGAAUCUCAAUUUAACAAAAAUGGAUUUGCUUUUAUCAAAGUCUCAAGAUUAUAAGGUAGCAUUGGUUGGCUGGUAUUUUCAUGCGUAAAAAUAUAUUCAUUUUUGUUAAAUUGUGAUUUUUCCUACACUUGUAUGUGAUUCACACUAGCAGGUAAAUUCUUUCGUUUGUUGAGUAAAUUAAAUUAUCAAAGGUGUUCAAAGUCAAAUAUUAACUUAAAUGUUGCAAUAAUUAAUGCAAAAGGGAGAUUAUGAGUGAUUGUUGGAGGUCAUACCAUAGGUAGAAAGGGAGGAAACAGUGGGACAACCAACAAAGCCAAGACUUGAUCCAUUUAUACUCAGCCAUUAAGAUGUAAUGUAGUAGUUUAUACUUCUGAUUUUGGUUUCUCAAGAAUUAGAUUUAUCCAUAAUCGAAUUGGAUUGAGAUUAUCUCAAGUUUUCCUAACGUAACCAAUGCCACAUUUAUUAAAAGUAUAUAAUCAUGUUUUAAAGUAGAAAAAAAUGAUUUUAUUCUUUGCAUCUUUGUUUUGAUUUGUAAGAAACUUGCAAGUAUAACUAUGCCAUUUUGGAAGGACAAUCAGAGUGCUUAUGGAGCAAAUCUUAACAAUAAAGCAAAGAAGCAUUUAAUACAUUAAUUUUAUUCUUGUAGUGACAGCGAUGUUUAAUUUUUAAGAGUUAUUAAAACUCUUUAUUUGCAACCCAAUGGUUAUCUGAAAUCGAAUUAAAUUUCUUUUUAUUUAAUAUACAAUUAAUUUUAAUUUUUUAUUAUAAAAAUAAAUAUUAUUUGUUUAAAAUAGUAUAAAUAACUUAAAAAUUCUUGUAAAAUCAUUAUUAUUAUUUUUUUGCAAAUAUUUAUUAAAAGGGCUUUCAAAUUUGUCAAAUAAUAUUAAAAAAAAGCAUAAAACAAAGUCAAUUUUGUUAAAAUAAGUCUAAAAAUCUAAAAUAAAACAUUAUUAUGAAAAAAUUAACAACUCUUCAUAAAUUCUAUUUAUGCCCCCAAAAAUGAUACAAAUUUGAUUUAUUCUCUAAAAAUUUAUAUAGAUAUAAGUUAUUAAAAUUGUGAAAUUGCAUCUUUACUAUCAUAAAAAUAUAUAAUUUUAUCCCCAAAAUAAAACUUUCCUAGCUUCACCCCUGAUCGACAAUGCUAAUAUAAGUUUGUUACAAAAGAUUGGCAUUAUAGUGGAAUUGGAGCUAACAAAAAAAAAAAUAACAAUGUUAAUGUUUCUUUAAAUUUAGGUCAGAAUUUUUAUUAGAAUAAAAUAUUAAGGGUAAAUUACACAUAAAAGUCCUAUUUUUUUAAAAUUUACCGAAAUGGGCCCGGUAUUUUAUUAUUUACCGGAAUGGGCCAUUUUCCCCGAAAUCGCCUCCACGUCAGCGCGAUGUCAGGGGAUGUGUCAGCAAAUCGCGUCCACAUCAGCGCGAUUACUUACGUGGCAACAAAUCGCGUCCACGUAAGCGCGAUUUGCUGACGUGGAAGCAAUAAUUCAUGAACAGUUUAUGUUUUUUAGCUUGGAAAACUUUGAAAGGCCAUAACUUUUGACUCGGUUAUCCGAUUGAGACGAUUCAUUAAAAUACAUUAACAUUACCUAAAGAGGAAUGGGAGGGAGAAAUAAGCCAAAAUAUUGCAAGAGCAGACAGAAUAUAGAAGAUCAGUGGUUGAAGAUAAGCCAUUGUUUUAGUGGUAGCUUCUGCACAAUGCUGAACCUCCAUUAUGCAAUGUUUUUUAUAGUUGAGAAAGGGGAUGAUGGCUAUUGUUUUCUAUCACUUUCAGAAACCAUGUGACGUUAUCACUUUCAGAAACCACUUUAAAAAAUUAUUUACAUGAAGAUUGUUUAUUUAUGUAUAUGGUUCUUGCUUUUUCUAAUUUUACUUUGGAAAUUACAAAAAUAAUCAACAUUGUAGUUAUAUCUAAUACUAGUUUCAAUCACAUGUAAUAAGUUCCACGUUAAUAAAAUAAGUCCUUAAUUUUUCUUAACAUGGCUUUCGAUGUGUCUGUUUCAAUCUUUAUAAAUAUGGCGAAUCAACUUCACAAGUAAUUACUUAUAACAAUUGAUAUAUAUGUUUAUAUAUGAACUUAACCAAACAUCGUCAAAGUUGUUGGAAUUUUGGUUUCUUUAAAAUUUUAGUAGGGUUUAAAUCUUGAUUAAGAGUAUGGUAAUUAAUGGUUAGAGGAGAAAAUGAAAUGAUUUGUUUUUAUAAGUACUGUUAGUCUUUCACAUGAAAUAGUGUAAGAAUCUCAAUUUAACAAAAAUGGAUUUGCUUUUAUCAAAGUCUCAAGAUUAUAAGGUAGCAUUGGUUGGCUGGUAUUUUCAUGCGUAAAAAUAUAUUCAUUUUUGUUAAAUUGUGAUUUUUCCUACACUUUUAUGUGACUCACGCUAGCAGGUAAAUUCUUUCGUUUGUUGAGUAAAUUAAAUUAUCAAAGGUGUUCAAAGUCAAAUAUUAACUUAGAUGUUGCAAUAAUCAAUGCAAAACAGAGAUUAUGAGUGAUUGUCGGAGAUCAUACCAUAGGUAGAAAGGGAGGAAACAGUGGGACAACCAACAAAGCCAAGACUUGAUCCAUUUAUCAAAUCCUUGCUAUCUCAACUCAGCCAUUAAGAUGUCAUGUAGUAGUUUAUACUUCUGAGUUUGGUUUCUCAAGAAUUAAAUUUAUUAUCAAAAUUAGAUUUAUCCAUAAUCGAAUUGGAUUGAGAUUAUCUAACGUAACCAAUGCCACAUUUAUUAAAAGUAUAUAAUCAUGUUUUAAAGUAGAAAAAAAUGAUUUUACAAAACACACAAGUUUUUAUAAGAGAAGAUUAGAAAGGAACAUAGCCUUUUGAAGUUGUAAUUUGUGAUGGGAAAGAAACGAUAAAACUUUGAUUUAAUUCUCUAAAAAUUAUAAAGAUAUAAGUUCCUGAAAUAGUAAAAUUGCAUUUUAACUAUCGUAAAAUUAUACAAUUUAAUCUCUCCAAAAUGAAAUUUUCCUAACUUCAUCCCUAAUUGACAAUACUAAUUUAAAUUUACUCCUAAGUCGUAUUUUAGAUCCGUCACUAUGCACACAAAAUUUUCAUCACCCAAGCUUCGGGUAGUUGAAAGCUCCUCCUUUGCAUCUUUGUUUUGAUUUGUAAGACACUUGCAAGUAUAACUAUGCCAUUUUGGAAGGACAAAACCUUAACAAUAAAGCAAAGAAGCAUUUAAUACAUUAAUUUUAUUCUUUUGGUUACAGCAAUGUUUAAUUUUUAAGAGUUAUUAAAAGUCUUUAUUUGCAACCCAAUGGUUAUCUGAAAUCGAAUUAAAUUUCUUUUUAUUUCAUAUAUAAUUAAUUUUAAUUUUUUAUUAUAGAAAUAAAUAUUAUUUGUUUAAAAUGGUAUAAAUAACGUAAAAAUUCUUGUAAAAUCAUUAAUUUUUUUGCAAAUAUUUAUUAAAAGGGCUUUCAAAUUUGUCAAAUAAUAUUAAAAAAAAGCAUAAAACAAAGUCAAUUUUGUUAAAAUAAGUCUAAAAAAUAUAAAAUAAAAAAUUAAUAUGAAAAAAUUAACAACUCUUCAUAAAUUCUAUUUAUGCUUAAAUAAGUCUAUUAGAAAGGGCAUGCCGUUUUAGCAAUGAAAAUAUAUUUUUAAAUAAUUUCAGAGUUUUUCUUCAAUUAUCUUAAAUUUUUACCCAUAUAUCAUAGGGGUUAUUAAGCUUUAUUGAAAACAAAUAUUUAGAUGGAUCUUAUAAACAUCCAUCUGUGACACUCAUAUACUUGUAUGGAUAUAAUUUUUUUUUUAAAUAUUCAUAUCAAUUAUUAAUUAUUUUUUAUAUCCUAUAAUUACUUCCUAAUUCAAUCUUAAUAUUCAAAGCAAUGGGUAUGAGGAGAAGCUUCGAGUUGAAAUUAAUACAAAAAAAGUAAAAGCAUAUACAGAAAAAAAAAUUCUAUUUAUGAAAAAUUUAACAUGUGGGUUGACUCAAUAGCUUUCAAAAAGCCAAACAAAAUUAAACUCUUGGUGGGAAAAAAGGGGGAAAAUAGAAAAUUGGAAGAAUAAAACCCCAAACUUUUAAAAGUAAAUACUUUUUUGGGAGGGAAAAGAUUUGAUUUUUUUUUUGUUCAAUUGCUAGAAUCUGGUUAGUGAGUUUCCCUUUUCUCUGUUUCCAAACUUUCAAUUAUUUAUCUAUUUAUGUAAGAAGGUUGCAGUUUAUAAGAAGUUAAUCCCAAAGCUUUGAUGGACAAAAGAAAACAUGUGUGAAACUAUCAAAGAUUCCAUUGACAGUAAACAAAAAUGGAUUUGCUUUCACGUAUCAACUUACCUAGCUACCAUAAUAUUAAUGCAAAUUCCUUUCUCAAACAAUGCUUUGAGUCUCAAAAUUAUAAUGUAGAAUUGGUUAGCUGGUAUCUUCAUGCAUCAAGAUAUCCUUAUUGGCAGGUUUAUCCAUGUGAAGAAGGAUUACGAUAAAAUAUUCUUAUUUGCAGGGCUAACCACUACCAAAUUUACUGGCAAAAAUAAAGUAGAUUAGUUUUUCAAGAAAAUCGGUCAAUUUUAAUUUUUAUGCAAAUCAUUGGACACCAUCAAUAAAAAUUAAUAAUUAUUUAAAGAGAUAUUGUCAUAUUUAUGAAAAGGGUUUUCAAAUUUAUCAAAUAAUAUUAAAAAAAAUGCACAAAACAAAGUUAAUUUUGUCAAAAUAAGUCUAAAAAUUCAAAACCAAAAAUUAAUAUGAAAAAAUCGAGAACCGAACUAUGAUGGACAGUUUAAAAACUCUAAAACCCCCGACUGUAUAGUAAUACUCUAUUUAUUUAUAGAGAGAAGAAGACGCACCUACGUAUUACUAAAAUAUUUGAAUUCAACAUUAUAAUCAUGUCACAAAAAAUAAAAUUAUAAUGGACUUGAAUUUAACAAAAAAUUUAACGAAGCUAACGCUCCUAUAAAUUUAUGUCAGAAUUUUAAUUAGAAUAAAAUAUUUAAACUAACUAAUGACAUUAUAAACGUUGAAGCACCAAACUAUAUAAAAAAGAUCAAAUAUAAAGUUUAAAUCUCAAAUUUUAACAUAGUAUAGAGACUAAAAUUGAAAUUUAUCUAUUAAUGUAUAAAGGUUGCACUUUACAAGCACUUAAGUGUUUGAUGAAAAGGAUAUAAAUUAAUUAUAUAAUAUAAACUACCAUGCCACAAUAAUUAUAUAAUAUACAAAUUCAUUAUACCCAUGCAGACUUCAUUUAUGCAUACAACGUAAUCUUAAAACUUAAAGUUGAAUAUAAUUAUUGUAACUUAACGUGGAUUGAAUGCAAAACUUAGGGUGGGUUUGGAUGGGCGAUUGGGUGCGGUGCGGUGCGUUUAGCCUACAUUUUGUCUCACGCUACAGUGUUGCUACAGUAUUUAAUCUCACCGCCACCGUUGUUUUUACAUUAACCGCAGGUAAACGCACUGCCCAUCCAAACUCACCCUAAGUAUAUCUUUAUAUUUAUUAGUGUUCAUCUAUUGCUUUCAAUAAACCACAUGUACAUAUUGAUUAUGACAUUCUAAAAUAAACACAACAUUUUAACAUAACUCUUAUAAUACAUUCUUUCAACUCUAACAUAUCAUAUCAUAUCAUUACAUUAAUUACACAUAAAAUAUUCUUUUACACAUAAUCUGCCAAAAUAUUAUUUGUUGUUAUCAUCAUACCGUAAAAUGAACCGGACUACAAAUUCAAUGCAUUUAGGGAAUAUUAUUUGAGAAAUGUCUUAGUUAUGCUGAAUAUUGCAUUCAAGAAAUGGAAACUCAAGUGAAGUAGAUGUGGGUUAUGGUGUUUAUUGUGAGUAUUAAGCAUUGCAGGGUUCUAUGGAACUCAAUAGCUUUCAAAAAGUCGAACAAAAUUAAAUUGUUAGUGGGGAUUGAAACUCAAUCGAUAAAAAAAGAAAAAGAAGAGAAAAUUGAAAAUUGAAAAUUGAAAAUUGGAAGAAUAAACAAUUAAUGUAAAUAGAAAUCUGAUUGGUGAGUUUUCAUUUUUGUUUUAUGAAAUUUCUCUUUUCUUUGUUUCCAAUCUUUCAAUUGUUUAUCUAUUUAUGUAUGAAGGUUGCAGUUUAUAAGAUCUCAAAUGUUUGAUAAAAAGAAUUUAAAUUAAUCCCAAAGCUUUAAUGUGCAAAAGAAAACAUGCCAAAAUUGUCAAAGAUUCCAUUGACAACAAACAAAAAUGGAUUUGCUUUCACAUAUCAACUUACCCACCAUAAUAUUAAUGCAAAUUCCUUUAUCAAAACAAUGCUUUGAGUCUCCAAAUUAUAAUGUAAAAUUGGUUAGCUGGUGUUUUCAAGCAUCAAAAUAUAUCUAUUUUUGUUGUGAUUCACACCAGCUGACAGAAAGAUUAGCUUAGCAAGAUUCCUUGCUUUGUUGAGUAAAUUGAAAUUAUUGAAGGUGUUCAAGGUCAAAUAUUAACCUAAAUGUUACAAUAUUUAACGCAAAAGGAAUACCAUAAGUGAUUGUUGCAUAUCAUACCAUAGAUAAAAAGGAAUAAAACGGUGGGACAACCAACAAAGUCAAGACUUGAUUCAUUUAUCAAAUCCUUGCUAUCUCAGCUCAGCCAUCAAAAUGUAACGUAGUAGUUUAUACUUGUGAGUUUGGUUUCUCAAGAAUUGAAUUUAUUAUCAAAAUUCAACAUUUCCAAUAAUUAUCAAAAUACCGGUGAGCUCCAGUUUCCGAGCGUUGCUGCGCUAUAAUAGAGAAAAAGCUUAGCAAUCCAGACUGUCUCUGUGCUAUUUUGCAAACUCGUAUGCUGGAGUGAGAAAUGAAAUCCAAGUGUAGCCAGUUUUCUCAAUUCAUAUUUGAUCUUUAAGAUAUCAUCCCUAUUAUUUAGGGAUGGCAAAACUCAAACCAUCAUUCAGAAUAGAGAGGAUUUUCUUUUGAAAGUGAAUGCAGAUUGAAUUUUAUAGUAGUUAAAGCAAUUAACACACAAGCUUGUAACACAAGGUAACUUGAAAAAAGUACCAUAAUUUCACUCACUCGAACGAAAUGGGAUCAUGGCAACAUGGAUUUGUGGCUGAUUCGAUGCUCGUGUUGUGUUGUGGUGUUCAUCGGAUCUUCAUCUGUUUAAGAAUCUUAACCAUCAGGUGAGACCUGUUUUGGAUUAAGUUAUAAAAAUUAUGCCACUUACAGCAAUUAUUUUAAUUAGUUAAUGACAACCUUAAACAUCAAAUCCUCUUCGACUUGCAAUUUUUUUCCGCAGAAAACAAUAUCAACAUCUAAGCAAUCUUAUAGAUAUCUAACCAACAAAAACCAAAUAUAAACUGAACAAUUCUCCAAAUACAGAAACCAGGAAAUAGUUAACAUCUCAAACAUAUAACCCAAACAAUAACAGCAAUAUUAAGAAGCUCACAACAAAAAAUUCCUAUUACAUCUUACACAUAUAUGUUCUAGCUCCGCAUCCCUCUUCAUAUUCAGUAUCCAUUUCAUGCCUUCUUCAUAUUUAGUAUUCAUUUGAUGCAUCUCUCGCUGGUUGACGUAUUACAUGUUUCUCAAUAUUCUCUUGUAUUCCAUUGAUACGAACCAGGCUCUCUAAAUAUGCAUGAAGGGAGAUGGUGAACCGAAAAUGAUCUAGAUAAGUAUUAAUCUGAAGCUCCUUAAGCUCUUGGGUGGAGGCGUCAAAUAGGAGUACUUCAUCAUUUGUGUCUCUAAGAAACAAGUCACCAUUUUUCCCAAAUCCCAAUGGGUGUACAACUCCAGAAAUGGAUUUAAUAUUGAAUUGUUUAGUCCACACUCCUUCACUUGUAACCCAUAAAUCAAAAGACGUGUCAAUUCCUUCCGUUGGGUAAACAAUAGCACCAAGUGAUCCAUUAAACACCAAUAGAUUAACAUAGUAUUCUGGGAAAGACCCAACGAAUUCUGGGAUAGGUAAAAUUGAGAACUUCUCAUUCCCCAUGUCAAAUGAAAGAAUUAGUCCUCUAAAAUCAAGAUAUGCCCGUCUCUGUUUUCAUAUAGCAAAUUCCGUCUACAUAAUUAUUUCCCAAAGUUGUUCCAGUUGGUUUAUAAUCAGGACAUGGAAUUUCCUUCCAGGAAUUACUUCUAAGAGAAUACAACUCAACUUGGUACAUAAAAUGAGAAUGUGGAUAUUGUUCUUCACUAUUAACAAAAGUAAGAGUAACAAAUCGUAUGACUUUGUAGUCAUCAGUUUUAGAAUCAAACCCAAAAGAAGCGUGGUUAAAUUCAACGUGAUCUAAAGUAAGGUAGGUUUCUUCGAAUGGGGAAAAAUAUGGAGGGCGUUGGAUUGAAGAUGGUGGAAGGAUUUUAAACUCUCUGGUUGAUGGGUUCCAAAUGGCAGCCUUAUCCUUUGAAGGAUCAAGUAAACACAACAAUCCAUGACAAGCACCAUAAACAGAGGGGCGAUCAUUCUUAAAAAAGGGCAAGUGAAUGUUUUGUUUUACUAUAUAAUUUUGAUAUUUUUCAUUUGAAAGUUGAGAGAAAUAACGUUGGAAGGUGUUACCAUCACAGCGACUAAGCAGUAGAUUAAGGUUGUUGUUUUCAAGGUUGUUGUGAUAAUUAUUGGAAAUGAAAUGAGGAGUUUGAAAAGAAGAACACCAAUACUUACAAACACAGUUGAAGCGAGUAAGGGAUUUAACUGGCAGCUUUGACAGAAUUUCCAUAACCAAAGCUUCUGGCAAUUCAAACCUUGGCCUCUGCAUCUUGCUAUUUUGAUUUUCUUUGUAAUUGGGUAAGAG
This 20366-nucleotide long non-coding RNA is filed under the name Gossypium raimondii (Peruvian cotton). RNAcentral's name for it is "long non-coding RNA (GRAI_LNC009689)". Lineage: Eukaryota; Viridiplantae; Streptophyta; Magnoliopsida; Malvales; Malvaceae. The record is from RNAcentral.